RNAcentral lists this ribosomal RNA (265 nucleotides) under uncultured bacterium. RNAcentral describes it as "partial 16S ribosomal RNA". It matches the Rfam family "Bacterial small subunit ribosomal RNA", at positions 333 to 594 of the family's 1533-position model. The record is from RNAcentral.
CUGCGCCUACGGGGGGCAGCAGUGAGGAAUAUUGGUCAAUGGGCGGAAGCCUGAACCAGCCAAGUCGCGUGAGGGAAUAAGGCCCUACGGGUCGUAAACCUCUUUUGCCGGGGAGCAAGGGCCGGGACGAGUCCCGGUCCGGAGAGUACCCGGGGAAAAAGCAUCGGCUAACUCCGUGCCAGCAGCCGCGGUAAUACGGAGGAUGCGAGCGUUAUCCGGAUUUAUUGGGUUUAAAGGGUGCGUAGGCGGGCUUUUAAGUCAGCGG